RNAcentral lists this ribosomal RNA (543 nucleotides) under uncultured archaeon. RNAcentral's name for it is "bacterial SSU rRNA". It matches the Rfam family "Bacterial small subunit ribosomal RNA", at positions 509 to 1050 of the family's 1533-position model. The record is from RNAcentral.
CAGCCGCCGCGGUAAUACGUAGGGGGCGAGCGUUGUCCGGAAUUAUUGGGCGUAAAGAGCGCGCAGGCGGCCAUUUAAGUCUACCGUGAAAGCUUACGGCUCAACCGUAACGGGCCGGUGGAUACUGGAUGGCUUGAGGGCAGGAGAGGAAAGUGGAAUUCCCAGUGUAGCGGUGAAAUGCGUAGAGAUUGGGAGGAACACCAGUGGCGAAGGCGACUUUCUGGACUGUUACUGACGCUGAGGCGCGAAAGCUGGGGGAGUGAACGGGAUUAGAUACCCCGGUAAUCCCAGCCGUAAACGAUGGGUACUAGGUGUAGGAGGUAUCGACCCCUUCUGUGCCGGAGUUAACGCAAUAAGUACCCCGCCUGGGGAGUACGGUCGCAAGACUGAAACUCAAAGGAAUUGACGGGGGCCCGCACAAGCGGUGGAGCAUGUGGUUUAAUUCGACGCAACGCGAAGAACCUUACCAGGGCUUGACAUCGUACGCAAAGCUUAGAGAUAAGCUCCUUUCUUCGGAAACGUACAGACAGGUGGUGCAUGGCC